This 107-nucleotide small nuclear RNA is filed under the name Betta splendens (Siamese fighting fish). The record is from RNAcentral. Lineage: Eukaryota; Metazoa; Chordata; Actinopteri; Anabantiformes; Osphronemidae.
GUGCUUGCUCAGGCAGCCCACAUGAUAAAUUGCAAACGAUACAGAGAAGAUUAGCAUGGCCCCUGCGAAAGGAUGACACGCAAAUUUGCGAAGCGUUUCCACAUUUU